This 222-nucleotide long non-coding RNA is filed under the name Homo sapiens (human). RNAcentral's name for it is "HSALNT0096182". Lineage: Eukaryota; Metazoa; Chordata; Mammalia; Primates; Hominidae. The record is from RNAcentral.
CACAGCUGAGGGAAAUCCCACGGUCAUCCUGCCCGUGCCCUUGGACUUGGUGAUAUAGAUGUUAAUACCAAGUUGGGCUAAGAUCUACACAUUUGGCCGCAUACAUGGAUAAAUAGCUUGAGAAUGAUGGGCAGAGGUGAGGGAUGCUAAUGGAUCUGUGAUGUCAGGGAAGUUUGUCUGAUAAGGCGACAGUUUCCAGCAGAGAUCUAAAAGUGAGUAUCU